CGUCUUCUCUUCCUUCUUGUGCAUGUGGUUGUGCAGUGAGAUAUUGUCUUUGCUGAUUGACAAUUGCAUCUUCUGUGGUCACUGCUUACCCCGAUCCCCCUUCGUGUGUCAAGCAGCUUGUUACUGAUGUUCACACGUACACCGAGCCGACAUAAGCCGCGGUGAUAAAAUGUGGUUGAUUCCUGGACGUGAUCGUACCUGUCGGAUGCGUCACGUCCAUCGGCCAAUCAUAGAAGAGCGGUAUGUCUGACGUCAUCACACGGUUGCGCACGAAGCGGAAGAGCCGGAGCAAGUUGAGGCGCCUCUGGGGGGGAAUAGCACAAUGUUGUGUAGGGAUGUUGCUCGCUGCCAAUGCUGUCCUCGUCUAUAUCUACAAGGCAUUCGCCUGGGCAACUUUUGUCGGAGUGUGGAGUGGUGCAAUGGCAAUUUUGGCGGGAGGAAGUGGCAUAGUAGUCCACCUAUCGGAGACGAAAUGCAACAAAAGGUUUAUGUUUGUCAUGAAUCUGUUCAACAUUUUCGGACUUUAUCCAGGCUUGAUCACCAUCGGCAUAGUAUUUUAUAUCUAUGAAGGAUAUACUGAUGUUUAUUUUCAACAUUUUAACAAAAUUAUGCAAUUGUUUUACAUGAUUUUUGCCUUUUUCGGCAUGAUUGCAGCUGUGUUUCAGUUAUCAGUGGUGCUUACUAAUAAUGAAAGACAGCAUAUGUAUGACUUUGAUAUGCGUAGGCGCUGUGGACUGAUACGAGACUGCGCAAGUCCGGAUCCGGAAAUGACGAGGGCAAUACAGGAGCCAGUGGCGUCCACAUCCACGGAAGCUUCCAACCAGAUCUCGACCAUUCAUAGAGAAAACGUGAGAGAACGCACAGAUUUUGAGAAUGAGGGCUUCGUUUAUUCAGAAUCGCAAUGCACGCGUUUUUAACCCACCAAUCUUUUUAAAGGGAAGGGAUGGACGUCCCUUUGUCGUAAAUGCCGCAGGAUGAGCGUUCAGCCAGUCGUGACACUGAGGCUGGUUUAAAUAACACUAAGUUAUUGAUAGAAGACCCGCAGGUCGGGAUGCGCCGGCCGUGGUCCCUCUUUAUUCUUGUGAUAGUUGCUAAGAUACGACAGUGUGCCAUACAAGCAAUAGGGCCUACGUGUCUUAAUAUUUCAUGGCACUUUUCUAUAUUUUGAUAUGCAGAUGCAGCAUCCUCAUAGUGUACAUGACUAAAUGUGAUUAGUUUCUCCUUUAGGGAAGUUGAAAUGGAUCCUUUUACCAUUCGCAUUUAUCUCGCACAGCAUUGUCGUCAUGGUCUGAAGCGGCGCAACACUUCUAUAUACUAACGCCAUCUGCAAUUGCUAUAAUACAGUAUCAAGAUUCAAUGCAUUCGACAUCGACUUUCCUCAAGGAGAAUGAAGUGCUUGGGCUAAGCCUACACACUCGUACCCGAUGAGACACACAGAUAUUCAACAUAAGAAUCUCUUUUCUUUCUGGUGUUUUCAUGUGCACCUUUUAUAUAUGACAGAUAAACGAUUGGUCUCGAGAUACUGCGUGAAAAUCCAUUUUGUAUUGAGUAACUUCUUCGCUUAGUGGCCAAACAGUAAAGUUCCUUUUUAUUCUAUCAGAGAGGAGCGUUCCAGGCAAACAUAUGUCGUAUCCAAGGUCUUUCAGCGAUGUCUUCCCGUUUAUGAAUGUUGUACAUAAUAAUGUGUUCCUGCGUUAAAUGGUAAUCUAUUUAUUAAAAUGAUUGUUUUA
Lineus longissimus is the source of this 1730-nucleotide long non-coding RNA. RefSeq lists it as uncharacterized. NCBI's taxonomy places the organism in Eukaryota, Metazoa, Nemertea, Pilidiophora, Heteronemertea, Lineidae. The record is from RefSeq and is a predicted model, not a curated record. The transcript has 2 exons.